This is a non-coding RNA of Nipponia nippon (crested ibis), 393 nucleotides long. The record is from the annotation of a RefSeq genome assembly. NCBI's taxonomy places the organism in Eukaryota, Metazoa, Chordata, Aves, Pelecaniformes, Threskiornithidae.
AUGUGGUACCACCGCUGGCUGCAGGCGGCCGUGCAGCUGGUGGAGAGCUGAGGGGGCACCCAGACACCCGGGGGGUCCCUGACCCUCCUCUGCAAGGCCUCCGGCUUCGACUUCAGCAGCUACGAAAUGUCCUGGGUGCGACAGGCGCCCGAGUACAUCGCAGAAAUUGGAAGCGGUGAUGGUAGCACAUCCUACGCCCCGGCGGUGGAAGGGCGCUUCACCCUCUCCCGGGACAACUCCCGGAGCACGGUCACGCUGCAGAUGAACAGCCUGAAGGUCGAAGACACGGCCACCUACUACUGCGCCAAAGGUGCUGGUGCUGGCCCCGAUCGGUGCCACAGGCAGCCAGAACCUUCGCAAAAUCCUUGCGCCGAGCCCAGACCCCUGCCCUGA